Molecule: long non-coding RNA, 610 nt
Filed under: Sorghum bicolor (sorghum)
Lineage: Eukaryota; Viridiplantae; Streptophyta; Magnoliopsida; Poales; Poaceae
Description: long non-coding RNA (SBIC_LNC012999)
Source: RNAcentral
GGCCUUAUUCUCCACCACCAGUCUGACCUUCUUCUCCACCACCGACAUUCUCCACCACAGCCAUGGACAGCCCAAACAACUCAAUCCACUGGUCUGAGGACGACCGGGACUCCAACUUCGAGUGAGAGUACCACUACCCGAUCAAGAAGGAGGCCCUGGACCCAGAGUCCCCCCCGCCUCCGAUGAUGACGCGUCCCCCACGCCCUCCAAGGGUGAGGAUCCAAAGGAGUUGAAGGAGGAGAAGAAGAGGAAGAAGGAUGAGGAGGAGGAGGAUGACGACGACGACAAUGAUGAUGACGACGACCAUGGAAGCAGCCCCAAGUACACCUAUCCCUAUGUCGUCGUGCCUCCUCGCAAGCGUGCGAGGUACGCAUGAUCCUCGCUGGUGGCAGCAGCGGCGGCGACGACGAUAGGCAUGGAUCAAGAAUCAAGAAUAGAAGUAGUAGUAGAAUAUAAGUAGUAUGUUGUAUUUUAAUAAGUAGUUUUCAAGAUCUUAUUGUAAUAGUUUAGGAAAAUCGUGGACGAGCACAAUCAUAUGCUCGUCUAAAUGUAAAUUAUUUUUGAAUCUAUCCAAGUUCAUAAAUGUAAGUUAUUUUUGAAUCUAUCCAAG